UCCAUCAGCAGGGGUACAUGAGCCUGCUUCUCUGAUGACCUUGGUGUUUGUAGCCCGGACUUGGGCUCUUUUUCAUUUUGGUUCCUCAAGACCUCAGCGGCAGCCCUGUUAUGCUUGGCUGGGUUUACUGGCUGGUGAGGAGGUAAGCGCCCUCUUCGCAGAUCCUGGGAUGAACAAGAGCUGCGUCCACGCCCCCACCCACAGCUGCCGGUGCCUGGCUGGGAUGGAAACCAGGCUGCUCAUCCAACAGAUCUCAGUGGAGAUUGGAAAGUGCUCCUCGGAGUAGCGAGUUGUGUCAUCGUUGGGAUGUGGAGAGAAGCCAGGCUGCCGAUGAGAACUACAGUCUUCCUGUCACCCUUGGUUUCCACCCUGACGGAAGGGCGAUGCCCGCGGCAGGGCCUGGACCGAGUGCUACCAGACGAGCAUUCCUGAAAUGGGGACCAGGAUGGCCAGAGCAUGGGAAGUAGACUAUCCGAAGAAUCCACCGUUCCAGGCAGUGUCUGGCUACAAGGCAGAAGAAUUUAACUCUUUAAUUCUGACUUAACACCCCUGGACAGUAGUGAGCACGCUUCCUGAGUCAUCUCCAAAGUCCUUACUCUACAUGUGAUCUCAGGAGAUCUAGAGGGGUGUGGGGCUAAUGGAGUACAUAAGAAACCUCAGGAAUCCUUUCCCUUUGGAUAUGUGAGCGAAUGAGCAAAGACAUCUCCGUGGACAGUGUGUGCUGAGGGGCGCGCAGAUGACUAGCCCCCUCACUGGAAACGGAAGCACAGGUCUGGUUGGAAGCAGAGUGGAGGGGGAUGGGAAGAGUGCUUGGCCAGGACUCAGCUCCAGCCUGGUCAGUGACUCUCGGAACUUGAGCUCAACAAGCUAUCUGAGUUUGCUUUAUUUCUAAGAUUCACCCAGCAGAAGCCAAUAUGACUUUAAAAUAGGCACGGUAAGCUAUUCUGUAUGCUUUACAAAUAAUAACUCACUUUAUAAAAAAAUAUACUUUA
Molecule: non-coding RNA, 992 nt
Organism: Myodes glareolus (Bank vole)
Lineage: Eukaryota; Metazoa; Chordata; Mammalia; Rodentia; Cricetidae
Source: RefSeq, a predicted model, not a curated record